ACGCGCUUGUCCCCAGAACUCAAACCCCAGAGUCCCUCCGGUAGGUGGUACAGAGGCGAGUUUGAUCCUAAACAAAACAGGGCAGGGUCUUCCUGUUUGUUUUCUUCCUCCAGCGGGGAGCAACAGCUGCUAAUUGGAUAAACCCCUGCCAAUCUGAGGACGGGGCCACCCCACAGACGCCGUGGCUCAGCAAGCAGACCAAUGGCCGAGGAGUCUGGCAAGGGGCGCUUGGCAGAUGAGAGUGGAGGUUGUAAAUCACCCUCCAUGCAAUGGUUCAUCAUAAAGGAUAUGGAGCAAAAUUAGAGGAGGCACGAGAAGGAAAGCCGGUGAUGAACAAGGCUAUUGCUUAAAGACUGAAUGACAUGGACCCCAGAGUUUAUGUGAGUUACUGUAAAAAUCAGGGCUUCACUCCCAACUGAGAGCCUUGCAGAGUGAGGAGUUUCUCUAGAGACCAUCUGAUAAAUGCGGGCUCCCACACGCAGAGAUGUGAGCUAGAGCCGUGCAGCAAAUAAUAUAUAUUAUUUUCUUCUCCGCUUAAGGUCCAAAUUGUCUGGUGUAACAUCUUUGGUGACCAUUCCAUUUGGGAAUCCUAGCUUACUGGAUGGAGCUGUGUGCGUUGUGAGGUUGGCCCUUGUUGUGCCUGAGCUUAGAAGAAGGAAUAGCAGGGGUAGUAAUCAUUAUGAUAAGCACUUCUUGAGCACUCACUACAUGUCAGGCACCAUUCUGAGCAUAUCACAUGCACGGGUUCUUUUAAUGUGCAUAACAACCCCACAGGAUUAGUAGGUGCCAUUUACAUCCCCAUUUUACAGAUAAGAAAACCAGGGCACAGGGUCUCAGAGUUAGCAGGUGGCAUUGCUGAGAUUGGAAAUCAGAUAGUUUGGCUCCAGAGCUCCUGCUCUUUAGCACUGUGGAGGUGACUUGAGAGAUGCCCUAAGUUCCAGCCCAACCACAGAUACCACCCCCAUUGGCCAUAGUACAUGACUAAAUGUGACAAUUACUUAUUCAGCAUUUAUUAAAAGCACAGUAUUGUCCUAAGCACUUUACAUGUAGUAUCCCAGUGCAUCUCCUUAUCAACUCUUUUAGAUAGGUACUGUUAUUCUUCAUCUUUUACAGAGGAACAAAUUGAGGCUCAAAUCAAUAAGUAACUUGGUAAGAGUCUCCCACUUAAAACAUUGGUAAAGUUGAAAUCCAAAUCUAAGCAUCCAACCCCAGAGCCCAAGCUCUCAACUAACCCUGGUCACUUUUUUGAGUAAGGACUUUGUAUCUCUCAAAUGCCCCCUAUUAAAAUGAACCUCAGCCAUGUGGGAGCAGUGUGAUAUUUUUUUUCCUGCCCCUAAAGCAUGUUGAAGAUUUGGGGACAAGUUUUAUUGAAACUCCCCAAGGCACUAGCUUUCACCCUUGGUGGUAAUUUUCUAGUGACUGCAGAUGCCUCAUUAAACGAGUUCAGGCACACUGAUCUCCUUAAUUCAGUUUCUUCCAACUCCCAUCUUCAUUCUGCCCUUGUCUUUGAACUCCUCAUGCUUUGUCUCAGUGAUCUCCUCCACUACCAGCUGUUAACAUCUUCUGUAUUGGGAUGAAUCCCUGACACACAACUUCAGCCCAGACCUGGCUCCAAAUCUCUAUGUCCUUCAUUCCACCUGCUCCAAGACCUAGGCACCUGGAUUUUCCCUAGUGUAGCUGAGGCUGGCGUGCCCCACCCAGAUCCCACGGGGUCUUUUUUCUACCCCCAUUUCCAAGCCACUGCCUGCAUUGCUGCAGGUAAAGGCUCACAUCUGCAGCCUUCUCCUGAGGCUUGCCCUUGAGGAAUGGGAGCAGCCUCACCCAGACUCGUACUCCCCACCUUCACCUGACCUCAGAUACUGAUAGUGUCUGUUCCAAGAAUCUAGUGCAACUUCCUUAGACUAGCAAUCAAUACCUCCUGCACCUGGCAAUAACCUCGCUGUCAAAUCUUCACUCCUGCUCAGCUGCAGAGCAGCUCCUCGGCCCUUAAGAGUUCCUCUGCCUUCUGGCCUUCUUGCCUUUGCUCACUCUGCUUCUGUUUGGAAUGUCAUCCGCCCUGCUUCCAACUGUCAAAAUUCUACACAUCCUCUGAAGGCUAGUGACACUGCGCUUCUGCCCAUGAGGCAUUCCCAAAUUGUGCUUGCCCUUGCAAUGUGGGUUAUUGCUAGUUAUGCAUGGGUCUCUAGUCAGCAUGGUUUGUAUUAUAAAAGGUCAAGAAUGAAUCUGAUUCUCUCACCUAUCUCUAGUUAAGGGUUCAAAUGUGUACCCACCAAAGGGUACUGAAGUCUUAACCUUCAGUA
This 2300-nucleotide long non-coding RNA is filed under the name Homo sapiens (human). RNAcentral describes it as "HSALNT0312428". The record is from RNAcentral. Lineage: Eukaryota; Metazoa; Chordata; Mammalia; Primates; Hominidae.